UCAGUCGGCUGGACGGCCGCUCGGACCAGUGCCGAAAGGUGGUCCGGGAGGAAAGUCCGGGCUCCAUGGACAUGCGGUGCCGGAUAACGUCCGGCGGGCGCGAGCCCAGGGAAAGUGCCACAGAAAACAAACCGCCGCUUUCAGUUACCCGCCUGCGGGUAGGACGGAGCGGCAAGGGUGAAAUGGUGCGGUAAGAGCGCACCGCGCUUGCGGCAACGCAGGCGGCAGGGCAAACCCCACCGGGAGCAAGACCGAAUAGGGGCGGCGCGGGACUUCCAUCCCGGGAUGGGUGUCCGGAUCCUAGCCGUCCGGGUAGGUUGCUAAAGGCGUCGGGCAAUUGACGUCGCAGAGGAAUGGCCGUCGCGCGAGGGUCUCAAGCCCUCGCCCUACAGAACCCGGCUUACAGGCCGGCUGAUGCU
Molecule: RNase P RNA, 419 nt
Filed under: Alphaproteobacteria bacterium
Lineage: Bacteria; Pseudomonadati; Pseudomonadota; Alphaproteobacteria
Description: RNase P RNA component class A
Rfam family: Bacterial RNase P class A
About the family: Ribonuclease P (RNase P) is a ubiquitous endoribonuclease, found in archaea, bacteria and eukarya as well as chloroplasts and mitochondria.
Source: RNAcentral